CAAAAUUUGAGAAUUUGAGGUUGGAUUGAAAUGACAGAAACCUUAAAAUUUGAGGAUUUGAGGUUGGGUUAGAGAUGCUCUAACCGUACAAUGUAUUGUAACAAUCAUUAUGUUAGUAAGGAUAUAAUAUUAAUAGUAAUAAUAAUACUCCAUAUAUUGUACUAGAGGAUGGCCCGCCCUACGGACGGGAAGAUACCUUAAAACUAUUAUACAUAUAUAUAUUAAUUUAUGAACCAUUCAAAAAAUCAGUGUAGAUUAUAAAUGAUAUUAUAG
Molecule: long non-coding RNA, 273 nt
Filed under: Brassica napus (rape)
Lineage: Eukaryota; Viridiplantae; Streptophyta; Magnoliopsida; Brassicales; Brassicaceae
Description: long non-coding RNA (BNAP_LNC004149)
Source: RNAcentral